AGUAAAAGUCGUAACAAGGUUUCCGUAGGUGAACCUGCGGAAGGAUCAUUACCACACCUAAAAACUUUCCACGUGAACUGUAUCAAAACAACUAAUUGGGGGUUUAAUUGGCGUCGGCUGCUGACAUCUUUUUGUUGGCGGCUGCUGCUGAGCAAGCCCUAUCAUGGCGAAUAUUCGGACCUUGGUCUGAACUAGUAGCUUUCGUUUUAAACCCAUUCCUAAUUACUGAUUAUACUGUGGGGACGAAAGUCUCUGCUUUUAACUAGAUAGCAACUUUCAGCAGUGGAUGUCUAGGCUCGCACAUCGAUGAAGAACGCUGCGAACUGCGAUACGUAAUGCGAAUUGCAGGAUUCAGUGAGUCAUCGAAAUUUUGAACGCAUAUUGCACCUCCGGGUUAUUCCUGGAGGUAUGCCUGUAUCAGUGUCCGUACAUCAAACUUGGUUUUCUUCUUUCCGUGUAGUCGGGGGAGGAUAUGCCAGAUGUGAAGUGUCUUACGGCUGAUUUUCGGAUCGGCUGUGAGUCCUUUGNAAUGUACAGAACUGACUCUCUUUGUUCGAAAAGCGUGGCAUUGCUGGUUGUAAAGGCUGUUCAUGUGACCAG
Molecule: ribosomal RNA, 600 nt
Filed under: uncultured Oomycota
Lineage: Eukaryota; Oomycota
Description: eukaryotic LSU rRNA
Rfam family: 5.8S ribosomal RNA (bases 272-426)
Source: RNAcentral